GAUGAACGUUGGCGGCGUGCCUAACACAUGCAAGUCGAACGUGAAGGCCUGGAUGAUUACUUCGGUUUGAUUCUGGGUUGGAAAGUGGCGAACGGGUGAGUAACACGUGGAUAACCUGCCUCGAAGUGGGGGACAACCAUUGGAAACGAUGGCUAAUACCGCAUAGUCCCAUUUAUAUGAGAGUAUUGAUGGGUAAAACUCCGGUGCUUCGAGAGGGGUCUGCGUCCGAUUAGCUAGUUGGCGGGGUAAAGGCCCACCAAGGCGACGAUCGGUAGCUGGUCUGAGAGGACGAUCAGUCACACGGGAACUGAGACACGGUCCCGACUCCUACGGGGGGCAGCAGUGAGGAAUAUUGCACAAUGGGGGAAACCCUGAUGCAGCAACGCCGCGUGGAGGAUGAAGGCUUCGGUCGUAAACUCCUUUUCUGGGGGAAGAGGAAGGACGGUACCCCAGGAAUAAGUCACGGCUAACUACG
Molecule: ribosomal RNA, 475 nt
Filed under: uncultured Caldilineaceae bacterium
Lineage: Bacteria; Bacillati; Chloroflexota; Caldilineae; Caldilineales; Caldilineaceae
Description: bacterial SSU rRNA
Rfam family: Bacterial small subunit ribosomal RNA
Source: RNAcentral